UGACACCUAAAUAUGCAACCAAGGGCUGAAACGCAAACAAAAUGCAUAUAACUAGCUGAACACAUUGGAUUUCAGCAUGUCAGAUGAUUGAUUUAGCACCCCACAUCUACCAGAAAGAAAUAAUCCCACUGAAUGCCCAGAAGUGAAAUACUUUGAUAUUUACAACUAUUUGAUCAAAUCACCAGGCUCAGUUUUUUUUUUGUUUGGCAGCUUAUAAAAACUUAGUUCUGGGUUCUUUACCCUGUUGUUAGCGUAUCCCACCGCAAAGCAGCUUUUAGGCAUUCUUCUGUUGGAGGAGACAAGGAGGCACCUUCAUGCAAUACAAAGACAGUGGAUAGUGAUGAAUUGUUUUCUCCUCCGGUGUGGGCGGUAUAUAAUUGUGCGCGGUCUCUAUAUCAGAUAUGAAAUUAGAUACACAACACAAAUAUUUUAACAAAGUAGGGCAACCUUGUACCCUGUUUUCUCUUGGGUAGAUCUGCAGAACUUCUAAAUUGCAGGUUAAUAAACAUACUUAGGUCUGCUGUUAAUGGGUUAUUUUUUAGACGUGCUGACGUUGCUGACGUACUCCGGUAAGCGUGUCGACUCAUUUCCGUUUCCGGUGCUUGUGUGUUGGUAGCGUGUUGUGCUGCUCUCGCUAAAUACCAGUUACAUUUGUUAGAUUACAGCGGCCAACUGUACGCUAUGUAAAAUUACUUAUUCUUACGGUAAUUUUGCCUAAGCACUCACAUUUCUUUCCAUCUUUUAGUGACUGCUGUUCAAUCUCAUAGUUGUUCAAAAGUUUUUGUAGCUGACACUACAGUACUUUAGCUUA
Molecule: long non-coding RNA, 811 nt
Organism: Micropterus salmoides (largemouth bass)
Lineage: Eukaryota; Metazoa; Chordata; Actinopteri; Centrarchiformes; Centrarchidae
Exons: 3
Source: RefSeq, a predicted model, not a curated record